ACCUGGCUGGCUCAGUCAGUAGAGCAUGCGACUCUUGAUCUCAGGGUCAUGAGUUCAAGCCCCAUGUUGGGUA
This 73-nucleotide transfer RNA is filed under the name Ailuropoda melanoleuca (giant panda). It matches the Rfam family "tRNA". From Rfam's summary of the family: Transfer RNA (tRNA) molecules are approximately 80 nucleotides in length. Lineage: Eukaryota; Metazoa; Chordata; Mammalia; Carnivora; Ursidae. The record is from Rfam by way of RNAcentral.